RNAcentral lists this unclassified non-coding RNA (285 nucleotides) under plant metagenome. Its description in RNAcentral is "partial contains small subunit ribosomal RNA and internal transcribed spacer 1". The stretch from base 1 to 54 matches the Rfam family "Eukaryotic small subunit ribosomal RNA", at positions 1778 to 1831 of the family's 1831-position model. The record is from RNAcentral.
GGAAGUAAACGUCGUAACAAGGUUUCCGUAGGUGAACCUGCGGAAGGAUCAUUAUUGUAUAACCGAGGUGCGAGGGCUGUCGCUGACCCGAAAGGUCGUGCACGCCCGAGUGCCCUCACACACAUCCAUCUCACCCCUAUGUGCACCACCGCGUGGGUCCCCCUUUGGCUUGUUCGGAGGGGGGCUUACGUUUUCACACAAACUUUGUAUGCAGUGUAGAAUGUAUUUUUUGUUUUUGCGAUCACGCAAUCAAUACAACUUUCAACAACGGAUCUCUUGGCACUC